AGCCCUGUGGCUUAGUUAGUUAAAGUGCCUGUCUAGGAAAUAGGAGCGCUUGGGUUCAAAUCCUAGCAAUGCCU
Molecule: non-coding RNA, 74 nt
Organism: Pangasius djambal
Lineage: Eukaryota; Metazoa; Chordata; Actinopteri; Siluriformes; Pangasiidae
Source: the annotation of a GenBank genome assembly